Molecule: non-coding RNA, 1536 nt
Organism: Malus domestica (apple)
Lineage: Eukaryota; Viridiplantae; Streptophyta; Magnoliopsida; Rosales; Rosaceae
Source: RefSeq, a predicted model, not a curated record
UUUCUCCAAGUCUACCUCCCGCAUCAUAGUUGAAGCAGUGCAAACUCUGAGGGCGGCGAACGGUACGUAUGCACGGCACAGGCGAUUGGGAUAAAAGAUUUGGUGGACAACUACUUGAGGAUUGCAUAUCCUAACUACAAUUAUCCCGACAACCUUACCCACACAGAGGAGGAAGAAGAAAAACUGAAUUCCGAUAAAUUGCAGAGAUUGGGUUGGAAUUAACGGCCACUGGAGGACACUCUUAUUGAUUCCAUUGAAAGCUAGGGGAAGGCUGGAGUCUUGAAGUAGCCAAAUAAAAAUCCCUUCUAUAACUCCGGUAGGUCUUCUUGCUGACUUGCUCGGGCGGCUGCUAGAGGGCUUCAUGAAGUUCCCAUGUCUUGGCAAGAAUUGGACCGCUGGAGUGUUUUUCUUGGCCCAAAAGGUGGACUCUUACCUUUUUGUUGGCAAUAGAUUGGAUGUCUUCAAUUUGGCACGUCAAUAGAAUGCCAAGUACUGACGCACUUGUGCAUGCCUUCAACUUGGCACGUCCUAACAUUUCACAUGAAAAUCCCUCUUCAUUCGUUCGGAAGAUUAGAGUGCUAGAUCAGAAAUUGAGAAGUCAAUCUUCUUGUACUGAUCAGUCUCCUUGUUGAGACACCAACUGCAAAAGUCUGCAAUAAAGAUGAUGGCGGCACCGGCGAAGGAGGAGAAGGAAAGAGUAUGUGUAACUGGGGCUGGAGGAUUUGUGGGCUCUUGGAUUGUCAAGCUUCUUCUCUCUAGCGAUUAUCUUGUCCACGGAACCGUCCGAAACCCCCAGGGGAUAGCAAGUAUGCUCACUUGAGCAAGCUUGAGAAAGCAUCAGAGAAUCUGAAACUGUUCAAGGCAGAUUUGCUGGACUACAAUUCACUAUGUUCGGCAGUUGCAGGAUGCAGCGGAAUUUUCCAUGUUGCCAGCCCUGUAAUUCCUAGUGCUAGUGUAACAAAUCCUCAGGCAAGAGUACCUGAUUCACUGAUACAAGAGUGAUCAACUAAAAACAGAAUAGAAGGAACUAUCCCAUGUGAAGUGAUAAAGGACUAGCUAGGACUCCAUAAUAGAAUUAACAAAUUGUUAUAUACGUCAAUCACAUUUCACAAUAUAUCAUUGCGCGGUGCAAUUGCAGGUAGAGUUGAUUGAACCAGCUGUAAAGGGAACGCUGAAUGUCCUGAGUGCUUGCCUAGAAGCCAAAGUGAAACGAGUUGUUGUUGUGUCCUCUAUAUCCGCUGUUUUUGUGAGCCCGGACUGGCCUAAGGGUCAAGUCAAGGACGAGACUUGUUGGUCUGCUCCCGAAUAUAUGAAAGCAACCAAGGCGGGUUUGAGUCAAUUGGAUACAAUUAUUGGACGGUGGUGGAUGUUCGUGAUGUAGCUGAAGCAGUGCUUCAUGUAAACAAGAAAUCUGAGGCUGGUGAACGAUACAUAUGCACAGCAGAUGCUAUUUGAAUAAAGGAUUUGGUGGACAACUACGUGAGGGUUGCGUAUCCUAACUACAAUUAUCCCCACAACCUUAGCCACACAGACGAA